GAUGAAGAACGCAGCGAAAUGCGAUAAGUAAUGUGAAUUGCAGAAUUCAGUGAAUCAUCGAAUCUUUGAAUGCACCUUGCGCUCCUUGGUAUUCCAAGGAGCAUGCCUGUUUGAGUAUCAUUAAAUUAUCAACUGUACCAAUUUGGUUGCAGAUUGGAUGUGGGAGAUUUUGCAGGCUUUUGAUUUCUCUUUGAGAAAAACGGUCAGCUCUCCUGAAAUAUAUUAGCAUUGCCUUUGUUGGUUCAUUAGGUGUGAUAAUUUAUCUGCAUCUUCACAUGGUACCUUCAUUUGUAAAGGUGAUAUUGCUUCUAAUUGUCUUUUGGACAAAAAAAAAAUUAAUUUAAUGUAUGAAAAACUUGAUCUCAAAUCAGGCAGGACUACCCGCUGAACUUAAGCAUAUCAAUAAGCGGAGGA
This 414-nucleotide unclassified non-coding RNA is filed under the name soil metagenome. RNAcentral's name for it is "partial contains 5.8S ribosomal RNA, internal transcribed spacer 2, and large subunit ribosomal RNA". The stretch from base 1 to 120 matches the Rfam family "5.8S ribosomal RNA", at positions 35 to 154 of the family's 154-position model. The record is from RNAcentral.